GGGCCGGUAGCUCAGUUGGUUAGAGCGCACCCCUGAUAAGGGUGAGGUCGCAAGUUCGAAUCUUGCUCGGCCCACCA
Molecule: transfer RNA, 77 nt
Filed under: Sphingomicrobium lutaoense
Lineage: Bacteria; Pseudomonadati; Pseudomonadota; Alphaproteobacteria; Sphingomonadales; Sphingomicrobiaceae
Also listed under: 1 other name
Description: tRNA-Ile
Rfam family: tRNA
About the family: Transfer RNA (tRNA) molecules are approximately 80 nucleotides in length. Their secondary structure includes four short double-helical elements and three loops (D, anti-codon, and T loops).
Source: RNAcentral